Molecule: ribosomal RNA, 497 nt
Filed under: uncultured bacterium
Lineage: Bacteria
Description: partial 16S ribosomal RNA
Rfam family: Bacterial small subunit ribosomal RNA
Source: RNAcentral
GAUGAACGCUGGCGGCGUGCCUAAUACAUGCAAGUCGAGCGAACAGACGAGGAGCUUGCUCCUCUGACGUUAGCGGCGGACGGGUGAGUAACACGUGGAUAACCUACCUAUAAGACUGGGAUAACUUCGGGAAACCGGAGCUAAUACCGGAUAAUAUAUUGAACCGCAUGGUUCAAUAGUGAAAGACGGUUUUGCUGUCACUUAUAGAUGGAUCCGCGCCGCAUUAGCUAGUUGGUAAGGUAACGGCUUACCAAGGCAACGAUGCGUAGCCGACCUGAGAGGGUGAUCGGCCACACUGGAACUGAGGCACGGUCCUGACUCCUACGGGAGGCAGCAGUAGGGAAUCUUCCGCAAUGGGCGAAAGCCUGACGGAGCAACGCCGCGUGAGUGAUGAAGGUCUUCGGAUCGUAAAACUCUGUUAUUAGGGAAGAACAAAUGUGUAAGUAACUAUGCACGUCUUGACGGUACCUAAUCAGAAAGCCACGGCUAACUACGUG